RNAcentral lists this ribosomal RNA (497 nucleotides) under uncultured bacterium. RNAcentral describes it as "partial 16S ribosomal RNA". It matches the Rfam family "Bacterial small subunit ribosomal RNA", at positions 28 to 507 of the family's 1533-position model. The record is from RNAcentral.
GAUGAACGCUGGCGGCGUGCCUAAUACAUGCAAGUCGAGCGAACAGACGAGGAGCUUGCUCGUCUGACGUUAGCGGCGGACGGGUGAGUAACACGUGGAUAACCUACCUAUAAGACUGGGAUAACUUCGGGAAACCGGAGCUCAUACCGGAUAAUAUAUUGAACCGCAUGGUUCAAUAGUGAAAGACGGUUUUGCUGUCACUUAUAGAUAGAUCCGCGCCGCAUUAGCUAGUUGGUAAGGUAACGGCUUACCAAGGCAACGAUGCGUAGCCGACCUGAGAGGGUGAUCGGCCACACUGGAACUGAGACACGGUCCAGACUCCUACGGGAGGCAGCAGUAGGGAAUCUUCCGCAAUGGGCGAAAGCCUGACGGAGCAACGCCGCGUGAGUGAUGAAGGUCUUCGGAUCGUAAAACUCUGUUAUUAGGGAAAAACAAAUGUGUAAGUAACUAUGCACGUCUUGACGGUACCUAAUCAGAAAGCAACGGCUAACUACGUG